AAGUCGUAACAAGGUUUCCGUAGGUGAACCUGCGGAAGGAUCAUUAACACGUAUCCAAACGUUAAAACCCCCCCCGUGAACCUUCAUCCUGCUCUUGUAACCCGCGUAGUUCGCAAUCUCUGAUAAAUCAUAGCCGGGUUAUUAGGGGGCAUGGGGACCCUUUGGCAAAGCUCCUGCGAGUGUACGGUCUACAGGAAUCGUAGAAGCGCUAUCCUUGCACAAUCAAUGACACUUUCCGACACUGACUGCUUGGAGAAACAUUGCCUAUAGAACUACCGCUCGAUUGUAACUGUUCCAAUGUUCGCACGUAGCCAGAGGUCUCUGAAUCACUACAACUUUCCGCACAGUUUAAUGUGAAGCUCAAUGUAAUACAUUGGGUAAAAAAACCGAACAACUGUUAACAAUGGAUAUCUUGGUUCUC
RNAcentral lists this unclassified non-coding RNA (421 nucleotides) under fungal sp. RNAcentral describes it as "partial internal transcribed spacer region". The stretch from base 1 to 46 matches the Rfam family "Eukaryotic small subunit ribosomal RNA", at positions 1786 to 1831 of the family's 1831-position model. The record is from RNAcentral. Lineage: Eukaryota; Fungi.